This 253-nucleotide ribosomal RNA is filed under the name uncultured bacterium. RNAcentral's name for it is "partial 16S ribosomal RNA". It matches the Rfam family "Bacterial small subunit ribosomal RNA", at positions 524 to 776 of the family's 1533-position model. The record is from RNAcentral.
UACGUAGGUGGCAAGCGUUGUUCGGAAUUAUUGGGCGUAAAGGGCGCGUAGGCGGUUUGUUAAGUCGGUCGUGAAAGCCCGGGGCUCAACCCCGGAGGGUCGACCGAUACUGGCAGACUAGAGUACAGAAGAGGUAACUGGAAUUCCCGGUGUAGCGGUGAAAUGCGUAGAUAUCGGGAGGAACAUCAGUGGCGAAGGCGGCGACCUGGGCCUGUGCUGACGCUGAGGCGCGAAAGCGUGGGGAGCGAUCCGG